RNAcentral lists this ribosomal RNA (404 nucleotides) under uncultured bacterium. RNAcentral's name for it is "bacterial SSU rRNA". It matches the Rfam family "Bacterial small subunit ribosomal RNA", at positions 355 to 776 of the family's 1533-position model. The record is from RNAcentral.
UGGGGAAUAUUGCACAAUGGGGGAAACCCUGAUGCAGCGACGCCGCGUGAGUGAAGAAGUAUUUCGGUAUGUAAAGCUCUAUCAGCAGGGACGAUAAUGACGGUACCUGACUAAGAAGCCCCGGCUAACUACGUGCCAGCAGCCGCGGUAAUACGUAGGGGGCAAGCGUUAUCCGGAUUUACUGGGUGUAAAGGGAGCGUAGACGGUGUGGUAAGUCAGGUGUGAAAGCCCGGGGCUCAACCCCGGGAUUGCACUUGAAACUAUCAUGCUAGAGUGCAGGAGAGGUAAGUGGAAUUCCUAGUGUAGCGGUGAAAUGCGUAGAUAUUAGGAGGAACACCAGUGGCGAAGGCGGCUUACUGGACUGUAACUGACGUUGAGGCUCGAAAGCGUGGGGAGCAAACAGG